GUGCCAGCAGCCGCGGUAAAACGUAGGAGCCUAGCGUUAUCCGAAUUUACUGGGCGUAAAGCGCGUGCAGGCGGUUCGGUAAGUUGGGUGUGAAAUCUCCUGGCUCAACUGGGAGAGGUCGCUCAAUACUGUCGAACUGGAGGAUGGUAGAGGGAGGUGGAAUUCCCGGUGUAGUGGUGAAAUGCGUAGAUAUCGGGAGGAAUACCAGUGGCGAAGGCGGCCUCCUGGACCAUUCCUGACGCUCAGACGCGAAAGCUAGGGGAGCAAACGGGAUUAGAAACCCGCGUAGUCC
Molecule: ribosomal RNA, 292 nt
Filed under: uncultured bacterium
Lineage: Bacteria
Description: partial 16S ribosomal RNA
Rfam family: Bacterial small subunit ribosomal RNA
Source: RNAcentral